AUACAGUUUGGAGUUUGCAGGAGAGACUCCUGUGAAAACUGAACUCUUUACUUCAAAUGAAGACAUUCAGUCCUUUGACAUGUACUGGCGGAGAGGAUGUGUGGUUUGGUCUAAUGGGACGGGCCACGUAAAGACUAACAUACAGUCUCAGGACUUGUCCGAGUACAUCCUGACUUUAAAACCUGCCUGUAUCGUCAGAGUUGACCAGAGGACUGGGAAUCUGUAUUGGCUGGCCUGUGAUGAACUUUCCAUUGGCGUUUCUACCAUUGGCCCCCUUGACCAGAGUAUCUCCAGACUGCUAUAUCAAGCCAGAACUGCAAUCCUAGACCUCUUUGUGGACUGGCUGAGAGGAAAGCUGUACUGGCUAGAGGGAGGUCAGAUCAUGAGAAUGAAACUGGGCCUGAUUGGUGGAAAUGCAGAGGCUAUCUUCAGCUUAGAGGAGGAUAGAGUCAAAACCAUUGUGUUUGACCGUAAAGGGAAUGGCUUCCUUUGGAACAUGGAGUCUUGUGAGUGUCUUUUCUUUGUCACUGAACCGUUAGUGUGCACGCUACAGGUUUGCAUUUACUUCAGCUGAAUGUGAUGUCAUUUGCUUCAGACUUGCAGGUUAUGAGUCUACUGAAGAUGAGAAGGUACUCGGCUGGUAAAGACUGGGUCGUUCCUGGCUCCAUCAUGGCUGCUUAUGAACCCUACAUGGUGACCUUGUUCAAUAACAUCCUGACAGUGUGGAAUCGCAAAGAUGGAGCUCGCGUCUCAGGGGUGGCGGUAGAGAAUGGAGUUGUUAGCUUAUCUGUUGCCCUCAGGGAAGUCCAACAAGGUUUGUAAUGUUCUUCUGGGUUUGAUUUUGUGUCUUUAUGCCACGGUUAUUUAUUUAUUUUUUGUUUUGUAUGCACUUUGGAUACAACAACCAAAGAUGUGCGUCCUACUGAGGUGACCUGCAAAAGUCCCCAAGUCUCUUGUCGAGGAUCAGCCAUGUGUAUCAGCCGAUCUCAGCGCUGUGAUGGGAAGAGAGACUGUCCGGAUGGAUCUGAUGAGGCCUCAUGUUUGCACAUGUGUGCAAAGCCAGGUAUGCUUUAUGCCAGGCAUAUUUCACCCAAAAAUCCUAUACUAAAAGU
Molecule: long non-coding RNA, 1112 nt
Filed under: Sinocyclocheilus grahami
Lineage: Eukaryota; Metazoa; Chordata; Actinopteri; Cypriniformes; Cyprinidae
Description: lncRNA (ENSSGRG00000045977.1)
Source: RNAcentral